RNAcentral lists this ribosomal RNA (220 nucleotides) under Gammaproteobacteria bacterium. Its description in RNAcentral is "partial 16S ribosomal RNA". It matches the Rfam family "Bacterial small subunit ribosomal RNA", at positions 1 to 232 of the family's 1533-position model. The record is from RNAcentral. Lineage: Bacteria; Pseudomonadati; Pseudomonadota; Gammaproteobacteria.
AAGUGAAGAGUUUGAUACUGGCUCAGAUUGAACGCUGGCGGAAUGCUUAACACAUGCAAGUCGUGCGGUAACACUUCGGGUGACGAGCGGCGGACGGGUGCGUAACGCGUGAGAAUCUACCUUUUAGUGGGGGACAACUCGGGGAAACUCGAGCUAAUACCGCAUGUGUCCUACGGGAUAAAGCAGGGGAUCUUCGGACCUUGCGCUAAAAGAUGAGCUC